AUGAUAGUAAUAUCCUCUUCUUGAAUGGAUCUUUUAAUCAUUGAAUAGUGUCCUUCGUUGUCUUUCUUUAUGGCCUUCAUUUUAAAGUCUGUUUCAUCUGAUAUGAGUAUUGCAACUCCUGCUUUCCUGUCAUGUCCAUUGUCAUGAAAUACUUUUUCCCACCCCCUCACUUUCAAUCUAUAUGUGUCCUUUUCCUAAGGUGAGUGUCUUGUAGGCAGCAGAUUGAAGUUUUUUGCUUUCUUAUCCAAUCAGCCACUCUGUGUCUUUUGAUGGGAGCAUAGAGUCCUUUGACAUUUAAGGUGAUAAUUGAUAGAUGAUUAUUUAUUGCUGUUUUAAACCUUGUUUUCCAGGUGAUUCUAUGAUUCUCCAUUCUUCCUUUCUGUUUUUGGUUGGAUGGUCUCCAAUUAUUUUCUGCUUGAGUGUUUUUCUUUUCGUUUUUUGUGAAUGUAAUGUUUGGUUUUGAUUUGUGGUUGCCCUGUUUUUUUAAGUAUGUCAACCCCUUCCAAUAAUUGUGUGUUUUAGCCUGAUAGUCCUGUAGGUUCAAACACUUCACUACCAUACUAAAAUUUAAAAAAAGAAAAUUAAAACAAGAAUCUAUUUAUUUCCUUACUUCCCUUGCCCACAUUUUAUGAUUUCGAUGUUUCUCUUUUUUCUUUUUAAUUUUAUUUUGUUUUAAACAUCUUCAUGAUUAGAUCUGUAUGCUGGCUUAUUUGAGUGACUGCUCUCUGAUUGUGGUUUCCUCCAUCCUAGUUCUUCCUCUCUUUUUUUAAUUUUUUUUUUUUUAUUUAGAGAAGGCCUUUCAAUAUUUCUUUUAGAAUGAGUUUUGUAUUGCUGUAUUCUUUUAGCUUUUGUUUGUUGGAAAAAAUUUUUAUUCCCCCAUCUAUUUUAAAUGAUAUUCGUGCUGGAUAGAGUAUUCUAGGUUGCAUGGAUUUUCUUUUCAGCACUUUAAAUAUCUCUUGCCAUUCCCUCCUGGCCUGUAGAGUUUCUGUAGAGAAAUCAGCUGAUAGCCUUAUGGUGGUUCCCUUAUAUUUGACACUUUGCUUUUCUCUUGCUGCCUUUAGUAUCCUCUCUUUAUUGUUAACUUUUGCCAUUUUUAUUAUAAUGUGUCUUUGUGUGGGUCUAUUUGGGUUCAACUUGUUUGGGGCCCUCUGUGCUUGUGUAUCUUGAAAUCAGUAUCCUUUAGAUUUGGGAAGUUUCCAACGAUAAUUUCUUCAAAUAUGUUUUCCAUCCCCUUAUUUUUUUCUACUCCUUCUGGAAUUCCUAUUGUGCAUAGAUUGGCCCACUUUAUAUUAUCCCAUAGGUCUCUUAUAUUGCUUUCAUGUUUUUUCAUUUGGUUUUCUGUCUGCUGUCCUGUUUGGGUGAUUUCCAUUAUUCUAUCUUCCACAUCACUAAUUCGUUCUUCUGCAUUAUUCAUUCUGGUUUUUACUGCCCUUAGCUCAGUUUGUAUCUCUGCAAAUGAAUUUUCUAGUUUUUCUUGGCUCCUCUUUAUAUUUUCUAGUUCCUUUCUGAGGGAGUCUGCAUUACUGUUCAUAUCUUCUCCUAAUUCCUUCAGUAUUUUCACUAUCUCCCUUUUGAACUCCAAGUCUGUCAGACUGCAGAGUUCUGAUUCACUGUUGACUGCUUUAGGUGAGUUCUGUUGGUUUCACUGGGAGUGGUUUCUGAGCUUCUUCAUCUUGCUUGUUAUUUUCUUUUUCUUGGGGGAGGUGUACUCCCCAUGGCUGGGCAGGGUUUGACCUGGCACUGCUGUGGAGUGUUUCCCAAGGGCUGGUGCUGUUGGUUCCCCUUCUUUGAGGCAGUGAGGCAUUUCAUGAGGGUGGGCGGGGCUAGCAGGGUCACUCUGAAGCAAAGGAGGACUUCCUGAGGGCAGGUGGGACUGGCAGGUUUGCACCUCGAUGGAGGCAGACUUCCCAUAGCCAGGCAGAGUUUGCUCUGGCAUUUCUGGGCCACGGAGCUCUUCAGGGUGGGGGGCAGUGCUGGGCAGCUGCUCUGCAGGAGUGCAGCAUCUCCCAAGGGCGGGAGCGGAUAGCCAGGCCACUGGGAGACAAAAGGGCACUUCCCCAGGGCAGCCAGAAUGGGCAGGACUGCCCGGCAAUGGAGGCAGACUUUCCAUGGCCAGGCAGAGCUUGCUCUGGCGUUUCUGGGCUGCAGAGCUCUUCCAGGGGGCUGGCGGUGCUGGGCACUGCUCUGCAGGAGUGUAGCCCUUUCUGAGGGUGGGCAGGCCAGGGUGGGGAAAGCCCCUGAGGUGGUCGGCUUCCCGCAAGUGGUGAGGCCAGCCCUCCGGGAUGGCAGGAGGCCUCAGGUCAAGCACACGGUGGGUAGGGGAGGGGGGAUACAUUGGGUCGCACUGCUGUCUGCUAGAAGACAGGCAAGUGUGCUUGCUGGGGUGCAAGGGGUAUUCUAUGGCAGCCCACCCCUCCUCCUCACCCCUCCCCAACACUGGCACCUUGUCUCUCCUUGGGUCCGGCUCUUCUCCCAAGUUCCCCCUGUUGUGGCUUUCCAAUCCCCAGCCCUUAGCAUAUUGUUCCUUCCAACCAUGAUGCACUGCUUCCUAGUGCCCCAGGCUAUCUCUGAACUGCCAACCCCAGCCUGCUCCCGGGGACUAACCUCCAAAGCUGUGGUCUCAGUGCCCAGCCCCCACCUGAGUGUCUUGCUUUUUGGUGACUGUGCCAGUAGUUCAGAUGAUCUGUUUAGCUCUCCCUCUGCUUUUCACAUCUCAGACCUACUGCUGCACUUUUCUCAGCGUCUGGAGAUCCCUCCCACUCAGUUGAUCUUUCCGUUGAUUAGGUGACUUUCCAGGGUGUGGGUUCCCUUUCUCCUUCCCAGUUGCCUUUCAGGAGUGCCCAUCUGGUCCUGAUUCCCCUUCUCUCACUCUACUCUUUUCUCUUGUUUUACCCAGUUAUGUCAUGAGAUUCUUACCCUUAAUGGAGGUUUAAGUUCUUCUGCCAUGUUUAGUUGCUGUUCUGUGCAAGUCAUUUAACAUGUAGGUGUGUUUUUUUUGUUGUGUUUGUGGGACAAAAGAUGGCUUCUGCCAUCUUGCUUUCUUUCUCUGUUUUUGUUUGUUUGUUUAAUGGUUUCCACUGCUGUGCAAAAGCUUGUCAGUUUGAUUAGGUUCCGUUGGUUUAUUUUUGCUUUUAUUUCUGUUGCCUUGGGAGAUUGACCUAAGAAAACAUUUAUAAGGUUGAUGUCAGAGAAUCUUUUGCCUAUGUUCUCUUCUGGGAGUUUGAUGGUGUCAUGUCCUACAUUUAAGUCUUUAAGCCAUUUUGAAUUUAUUUUUGUGCUUGGUGUGAGGUUGUGUUCUAGUUUCACCAAUUACAUGCAGCUGUCCAGUUUUCCCAGCUCCUCUUGCUAAAAAUACUAUCUUUUUCCCAUUUUAUAUUCUUGCCUCCUUUGUCACAGAUUAAUUGGGCAUAGGUGCCUGAGUUUAUUUCUGAGUUCUCUAUUCUGUUCCAUUGGUCUGUAUGUCUGUUUUGGUAUCAGUACCACACUAUCCUGAUUACUGUAGCUUUGUAAUAUUGUCUGAAGUCUGGGAGAGUUAUGCCUCCCACUUGGUUUUAUGGUUCCAUAUAAAUUUUUGGAUUGUUUGUUCUAGUUCUGUGAAAAAUGUCGUGGGUAUUUUGAUAGGGAUUUCACUGAAUCUACAGAGUGCUUUGGGUAGUAUGGCCAUUUUCACAAUAUUAAUUCUUCCAACCCAGGCGCAUGGAUGGAAUAUCUUUCCAUUUCUUUGAAUCCUCUUUAAUUUCCUUGAUUAAUGUUUUAUAGUUCUCAGCAUAUAAGUAUUUCACCUCCUUGGUCAUGUUUAUUCCUAGAUAUUUAAUUUUGGGGGGAGCAAUUUCAAAAGGUAUUUUAUUUUUGUAUCCUUUUCUAAUAUUACAUUGUUAGUAUACAGAAAAGCACUGAUUUCUGAAUGUUAAUCUUGCAUCCUGCUACUUUUCUGAAUUCAUUGAUCAGCUUGAGCAGUUUUUGUGUGGAGUCCUUAGGGUUUUCUAUGUAUAGUAUCAUGUCAUCUGCAUGUCUUCUCUUCCAAUUUGGAUAUCUUUUAUUUCUUUUGUUUGUCUGAUUGCUGUGGCUAGGAGUUCCAAUUCUAUGUUCAAUAAAAGUGAUGAGAGUGCGUAUCCUUGUCUUUUCCCAGAUUUUAGUGGGAUGGCUUUCAGCUUUUCUCCAUUGAGUAUUAUAUUUGCUGUGGGUUUGUCAUAAAUGGCUUUGAUUAUGUUAAGGAAUGUUCCUUCUAUACCCACUUUGGUAAGAGUUUUUAUCAUGAAUGUAUGCUGGACUUUGUCCAGUGCUUUUCUGCAUCUAUUGAUAUGACUGUGUGGUUUUUGACUUCUCCUCUGUUAAUGUGGUGUAUGAUAUUGAUUGAUCGAACCAUCCUGUGAACAUAGGAUGAAUCCCACUUGGUCGUGGUGUGUGAUUUUUUUUUUUGUAUAUUAUUGGAUUCAGUUGGCUAAAAUUUGGUUUUGGAGGUUUAAGUUCUUCUGCCAGUGAGCAGUAGAUGUUCUGUGCAAAUUGUUGUAUAUGUAGAUGUGUUUUUUUCAUGUUUUUAUGGAAGAAGGUGAGUGUGAUGUCUUACUCCUCUGCCAUCUUGAUCCUUCCCACCACAAAUGUUUUUAAAUUCCAUUUCAAUUUAUAUACAUAAUUUUUGUCAUAAAGAAGUACGGUGGUAUAACCAAUAAACAAUUUUCAAGCAUAAGAAUAUAUUACGAUGAAAUUCUGAAGAGGAAGUGAAAUGUGAAUAAGUUAAACCCAGAAUGGGAGAAAAUAUUUGUAAGUGAAUUGACUGACAAGGGAUUAAUAUCCAAAAUAUACAAGUGACACACCCAGCUUAAUAUAAAAAAUAAAAUAAAAUGAGAAGAUCUAGAAAUUUCUCCAAAGAAAUCUUACAGACAAAAAAAAAAAAAAAA
Molecule: long non-coding RNA, 4898 nt
Filed under: Sus scrofa (pig)
Lineage: Eukaryota; Metazoa; Chordata; Mammalia; Artiodactyla; Suidae
Description: lncRNA (ENSSSCG00060061207.1)
Source: RNAcentral